RNAcentral lists this transfer RNA (73 nucleotides) under Ophidiomyces ophidiicola. Its description in RNAcentral is "tRNA-Asp". Lineage: Eukaryota; Fungi; Ascomycota; Eurotiomycetes; Onygenales; Onygenaceae. The record is from RNAcentral.
GGGUUAGUAACUUAAUUGGUAAAGGGUUUUCUUGUCGAGAAAAUUGAUAUCGGAUCGUAGCCGAUUUAACCCG